AAAUCUUCUCUAAUACCCCCUACGGGAAAUUGUAGUGGAGAAUUUUUCGCAAUGGGCGAAAGCCUGAUGGAGCAAUGCUGUGUGAAGGUAGAAGGCCUAUGGGUCAUGAACUUUUUUCUAGAGAAGAAGCAAUGAUGAUAUUUGAAGAAUAAGCAUUGGUUAACUCUACUACUGCGAGGAUGCA
Molecule: non-coding RNA, 184 nt
Filed under: Vigna angularis (adzuki bean)
Lineage: Eukaryota; Viridiplantae; Streptophyta; Magnoliopsida; Fabales; Fabaceae
Also listed under: 1 other name
Description: Bacterial small subunit ribosomal RNA
Rfam family: Bacterial small subunit ribosomal RNA
Source: Rfam by way of RNAcentral